UAUACCUCACCAACCGUUCAUUUUCUCCCCUUUUAUCUCCCCCUUUAGCUCCACCCCCUCCCCAAACCUUUCACUUUAUCACCUUAUUCCCUCAGUUCUAUAAAAACUGAAGCUGAUAAAGUUGAUUGUUGAAAUUAUAAAUAGUGCACAACAACUGCACAACUUAUUGAAAAGUAAUUAAUAUUAGACCCUAGCUUUCCCUUUUCUACCUUUUAAUCCUUGUCUCUCUUAUUUAGGUUUACUCCGGGUGCUCCGGUUCCCCUAACACGAAUUCUUAAUUCGACUAUAAAAAAAAAUCCAAUUUGAAAAAGAAUAAAUAAAGUAAUUGACUUGAACCAGAAAAUGACAUGGAAAAAGUGAUUAUUUGCAAGUUAUCUUAGGUUGACUGUUUUUUUCAGAGUUGAUCUAUGCCACCCACCAUUCUGAUGUAGGCUACUACACAAUGUCUUCUGUUUCUGUCAAAAGAAAUCAAAACAUUUUAACCCUAACAAUAUACUGUCUCCCAAUUUGGUGUCUUACUACAAUUUAACUUUUGUAAUGGAACUUUUAAUCUUUUCCUGUAUAUUAUAUUAAUUGAAAUGUCUUUGUUGCCAUUUAACAGGGGAUCCAGCCAGAGUCAGUGGAUGAGAUGGUGGUUCGGAAACCAAAAUUGAAGUUGGUGUCAAAUCAGGUGUAAAAUCCACCUUGUAUGCAGCAUAUUCAGCUAGACAGGCUUGUCACCUUUGAUGUCCAGGGGGCCUUGGUAGUUCGUCAACAGGCAGCAAACUGCCCAUAGUUGGUUGAUGGAGCCGGCCAAGGAGAGAGGAACAACCCCAUCCCAGAUAUGACACAGUGUGGAUUAUUGGUGACUGGUCCGUCGAGGUGCC
Non-coding RNA from Labrus bergylta (ballan wrasse), 866 nucleotides. The record is from RefSeq and is a predicted model, not a curated record. NCBI's taxonomy places the organism in Eukaryota, Metazoa, Chordata, Actinopteri, Labriformes, Labridae.